UGCAAGUCGAGGGGUAUAGUAGCAAUACUAGAGACCGGCGCACGGGUGCGUAACGCGUAUGCAAUCUACCUUUUACAGCGGGAUAGCCCAGAGAAAUUUGGAUUAAUACCUCAUAGUAUAGUUACUCGGCAUCGAGAUACUAUUAAAGUCACAACGGUAAAAGAUGAGCAUGCGUCCCAUUAGCUAGUUGGUAAGGUAACGGCUUACCAAGGCGACGAUGGGUAGGGGUCCUGAGAGGGAGAUCCCCCACACUGGUACUGAGACACGGACCAGACUCCUACGGGAGGCAGCAGUGAGGAAUAUUGGACAAUGGGCGCAAGCCUGAUCCAGCCAUGCCGCGUGCAGGAAGACGGUCCUAUGGAUUGUAAACUGCUUUUAUACGGGAAGAAACACCGGUUCGUGAACCGGCUUGACGGUACCGUAAGAAUAAGGAUCGGCUAACUCCGUGCCAGCAGCCGCGGUAAUACGGAGGAUCCAAGCGUUAUCCGGAAUCAUUGGGUUUAAAGGGUCCGUAGGCGGUCAGAUAAGUCAGUGGUGAAAUCCCAUCGCUCAACGGUGGAACGGCCAUUGAUACUGUCUGACUUGAAUUAUUAGGAAGUAACUAGAAUAUGUAGUGUAGCGGUGAAAUGCUUAGAGAUUACAUGGAAUACCAAUUGCGAAGGCAGGUUACUACUAAUGGAUUGACGCUGAUGGACGAAAGCGUGGGUAGCGAACAGGAUUAGAUACCCUGGUAGUCCACGCCGUAAACGAUGGAUACUAGCUGUUGGGCGCAAGUUCAGUGGCUAAGCGAAAGUGAUAAGUAUCCCACCUGGGGAGUACGUUCGCAAGAAUGAAACUCAAAGGAAUUGACGGGGGCCCGCACAAGCGGUGGAGCAUGUGGUUU
This 883-nucleotide ribosomal RNA is filed under the name uncultured organism. Its description in RNAcentral is "bacterial SSU rRNA". It matches the Rfam family "Bacterial small subunit ribosomal RNA", at positions 56 to 947 of the family's 1533-position model. The record is from RNAcentral.